AUUGAACGCUGGCGGCAGGCUUAACACAUGCAAGUCGAGCGGGGGAGGUUACUUCGGUAACUGACCUAGCGGCGGACGGGUGAGUAAUGCUUAGGAAUCUGCCUAUUAGUGGGGGACAACAUUCCGAAAGGAAUGCUAAUACCGCAUACGCCCUACGGGGGAAAGCAGGGGAUCUUCGGACCUUGCGCUAAUAGAUGAGCCUAAGUCGGAUUAGCUAGUUGGUGGGGUAAAGGCCUACCAAGGCGACGAUCUGUAGCGGGUCUGAGAGGAUGAUCCGCCACACUGGGACUGAGACACGGCCCAGACUCCUACGGGAGGCAGCAGUGGGGAAUAUUGGACAAUGGGCGGAAGCCUGAUCCAGCCAUGCCGCGUGUGUGAAGAAGGCCUUUUGGUUGUAAAGCACUUUAAGCGAGGAGGAGGCUCCUUUAGUUAAUACCUAAAGAGAGUGGACGUUACUCGCAGAAUAAGCACCGGCUAACUCUGUGCCAGCAGCCGCAGUAA
This 501-nucleotide ribosomal RNA is filed under the name uncultured bacterium. Its description in RNAcentral is "partial 16S ribosomal RNA". It matches the Rfam family "Bacterial small subunit ribosomal RNA", at positions 30 to 523 of the family's 1533-position model. The record is from RNAcentral.